Molecule: ribosomal RNA, 512 nt
Filed under: Escherichia coli
Lineage: Bacteria; Pseudomonadati; Pseudomonadota; Gammaproteobacteria; Enterobacterales; Enterobacteriaceae
Description: bacterial SSU rRNA
Rfam family: Bacterial small subunit ribosomal RNA
Source: RNAcentral
ACCUUCGGGCCUCUUGCCAUCGGAUGUGCCCAGAUGGGAUUAGCUAGUAGGUGGGGUAAAGGCUCACCUAGGCGACGAUCCCUAGCUGGUCUGAGAGGAUGACCAGCCACACUGGAACUGAGACACGGUCCAGACUCCUACGGGAGGCAGCAGUGGGGAAUAUUGCACAAUGGGCGCAAGCCUGAUGCAGCCAUGCCGCGUGUAUGAAGAAGGCCUUCGGGUUGUAAAGUACUUUCAGCGGGGAGGAAGGGAGUAAAGUUAAUACCUUUGCUCAUUGACGUUACCCGCAGAAGAAGCACCGGCUAACUCCGUGCCAGCAGCCGCGGUAAUACGGAGGGUGCAAGCGUUAAUCGGAAUUACUGGGCGUAAAGCGCACGCAGGCGGUUUGUUAAGUCAGAUGUGAAAUCCCCGGGCUCAACCUGGGAACUGCAUCUGAUACUGGCAAGCUUGAGUCUCGUAGAGGGGGGUAGAAUUCCAGGUGUAGCGGUGAAAUGCGUAGAGAUCUGGAGGAA